RNAcentral lists this ribosomal RNA (325 nucleotides) under uncultured eukaryote. RNAcentral's name for it is "partial 18S ribosomal RNA". It matches the Rfam family "Eukaryotic small subunit ribosomal RNA", at positions 1470 to 1796 of the family's 1831-position model. The record is from RNAcentral.
CCCCUAGAUGUUCUGGGCCGCACGCGCGCUACACUGAACAGUUCAACAAGUCUUAACCUUGGCCGAUAGGUCUGGGUAAUCUUUGAACGCUGUUCGUGAUUGGGAUAGACCUUUGCAAUUAUGGGUCUUCAACGAGGAAUUCCUAGUAAACGCAAGUCAUCAGCUUGCAUUGAUUACGUCCCUGCCCUUUGUACACACCGCCCGUCGCACCUACCGAUUGAAUGGUCCGGUGAAGCCUCGGGAUUGUGGCGAGUUCCCUUUAUUGGGAGUUUGUCGCGAGAACUUGUCUAAACCUUAUCAUUUAGAGGAAGGUGAAGUCGUANCA